GCUUACGGCCAUAUCAGCCUGGGUACUCCCGAUCUCGUCUGAUCUCGGAAGCUAAGCAGGGUCGGGCCUGGUUAGUACUUGGAUGGUAGACCGCCUGGGAAUACCAGGUGCUGUAAGCA
Molecule: ribosomal RNA, 119 nt
Filed under: Salmo salar (Atlantic salmon)
Lineage: Eukaryota; Metazoa; Chordata; Actinopteri; Salmoniformes; Salmonidae
Source: RNAcentral